GGGUGAGUAACACGUAGGUAAUCUGCCUUAGAGCCUGGGAUAACAGUUGGAAACGAUUGCUAAUACCGGAUGAUAUAAGAGUCGUAAAGAUUCUUAUUAAAAGGUGCCUUUAAAGCAUCACUUUAAGAUGAGCCUGCGGCGUAUUAGCUAGUUGGUGAGGUAAAAGCUUACCAAGGCGACGAUGCGUAGCCGACCUGAGAGGGUGAACGGCCACACUGGGACUGAGACACGGCCCAGACUCCUACGGGAGACAGCAGUUAGGAAUAUUCGUCAAUGGGGGAAACCCUGAACGAGCAAUGCCGCGUGAAGGAAGACGGUCCUCUGGAUUGUAAACUUCUGUUGUUAGGGAAGAACGGUAAGUAUAGGAAAUGAUACUUAAGUGACGGUACCUUUCAAGAAAGCAUCGGCUAACUACGUGCCAGCAGCCGCGGUAAUACGUAGGAUGCGAGCGUUAUCCGGAAUUAUUGGGUGUAAAGGGUGUGUAGGCGGUAAUAUAAGUCUAAGGUCUAAGGCUGAAGCUCAACUUCAGUUCGCCUUAGAAACUGUAUUUCUUGAGUAUGGUAGAGGCAAAUGGAAUUUCUAGUGUAGCGGUAAAAUGCGUAGAUAUUAGAAGGAACACC
Molecule: ribosomal RNA, 620 nt
Filed under: uncultured bacterium
Lineage: Bacteria
Description: bacterial SSU rRNA
Rfam family: Bacterial small subunit ribosomal RNA
Source: RNAcentral